AUUGAACGCUGGCGGAAUGCUUUACACAUGCAAGUCGAACGGCAGCACGGACUUCGGUCUGGUGGCGAGUGGCGAACGGGUGAGUAAUGUAUCGGAACGUGCCCAGUCGUGGGGGAUAACGUAGUGAAAAUUACGCUAAUACCGCAUACGAUCUAUGGAUGAAAGCGGGGGAUCGCAAGACCUCGCGCGAUUGGAGCGGCCGCUAUCAGAUUAGGGUGUUGGUGGGGUAAAGGCCCAUCAAGCCAACGAUCUGUAGCUGGUCUGAGAGGACGACCAGCCACACGGCAACGGAGACACGGUCCAGACGCGUACGGGAGGCAGCAGUGGGGGAUUGUGGUCAAUGGGCGAAAGCCUGAUCCAGCCAUUCCGCGUGCAGGAUGAAGGCCCUCGGGUUGUAAACUGCUUUUGUACAGAACGAAAAGGUUUCUACUAGUACUAGGAGCGCAUGACGGUACUGUAAGAAUAAGCACCGGCUAACUACGUGCCAGCCGCCGCCGUAA
RNAcentral lists this ribosomal RNA (500 nucleotides) under uncultured bacterium. RNAcentral's name for it is "partial 16S ribosomal RNA". It matches the Rfam family "Bacterial small subunit ribosomal RNA", at positions 30 to 523 of the family's 1533-position model. The record is from RNAcentral.